Molecule: long non-coding RNA, 112 nt
Organism: Dipodomys spectabilis (banner-tailed kangaroo rat)
Lineage: Eukaryota; Metazoa; Chordata; Mammalia; Rodentia; Heteromyidae
Exons: 4
Source: RefSeq, a predicted model, not a curated record
GUGUGAGGGUCUUCUGCUGCACAAUACUCACCAGGUGAGGCAUCAGGAGGUCCACUGAGUAUACGAAAGCAGCACCGAGGGUAAAGCCAAUAGCCACGGGGAAGAAGGCAAA